AUGUUAUAAUUUAAUAUCUUUCAUUUAAUUUAAUUUUUUCUACUCCUAUUUUGAAUAUCAUAAUUAAUGCAUUUAUGUUUGCAAAAUAUUUUAAAAAUAAUUUUGGAAUAUAACAUGAUAAGAGAUAAAUAAAAUUUAUCAAUUGAGCAGGGUGACAUAAUUAGAUAGAGACAUACAAAAUACAAACACCUUCCUUCACUCCUAAAGCUGAACCUGAACUGAUUAAAAAGUUAGGGAUGAACCACAAUCUAAUAUAACUCCAUCUUUGUUAAGCACCGGUUCACACAAAUGUUAUUCUUUAGAUAUUUAGAAUCGGCAACAAAUGUUAAACAGCUGCCAACCUGUACAACACAAAAGGCACCAUUUAUAUAUAUAUAUAUAUAUAAAAUGAAAACCCUUAUUACAAUGUAAUUUUCAAACUUGUAGUAGAUUGUAAUUUUCAAAAUACCGUAUCUAUUUAUCA
This 463-nucleotide long non-coding RNA is filed under the name Cicer arietinum (chickpea). RNAcentral describes it as "long non-coding RNA (CARI_LNC001026)". The record is from RNAcentral. Lineage: Eukaryota; Viridiplantae; Streptophyta; Magnoliopsida; Fabales; Fabaceae.